Molecule: ribosomal RNA, 237 nt
Filed under: uncultured bacterium
Lineage: Bacteria
Description: partial 16S ribosomal RNA
Rfam family: Bacterial small subunit ribosomal RNA
Source: RNAcentral
CGUAUCCAACCUGCGAUGACUCGGGGAUAGCCUUUCGAAAGAAAGAUUAAUACCCGAUGGCAUAGUUCUUCCGCAUGGUGGAACUAUUAAAGAAUUUCGGUCAUCGAUGGGGAUGCGUUCCAUUAGGUUGUUGGCGGGGUAACGGCCCACCAAGCCUUCGAUGGAUAGGGGUUCUGAGAGGAAGGUCCCCCACAUUGGAACUGAGACACGGUCCAAACUCCUACGGGAGGCAGCAUG